ACGAACGCUGGCGGCGUGCUUAACACGUGCAAGUCGAGCGGUAAGGCCCUUCGGGGUACACGAGCGGCGAACGGGUGAGUAACACGUGGGUGACCUGCCCUCAGCUCUGGGAUAAGCCCGGGAAACUGGGUCUAAUACCGGAUAUGACCUUGUGUCGCAUGGCACUGGGUGGAAAGUUUUUCGGCUGGGGAUGGGCCCGCGGCCUAUCAGCUUGUUGGUGGGGUGAUGGCCUACCAAGGCGACGACGGGUAGCCGGCCUGAGAGGGCGACCGGCCACACUGGGACUGAGACACGGCCCAGACUCCUACGGGAGGCAGCAGUGGGGAAUAUUGCGCAAUGGGCGAAAGCCUGACGCAGCGACGCCGCGUGGGGGAUGACGGCCUUCGGGUUGUAAACCUCUUUCGACCGGGACGAAGCGCAAGUGACGGUACCGGUAGAAGAAGCACCGGCCAACUACGU
This 459-nucleotide ribosomal RNA is filed under the name uncultured bacterium. Its description in RNAcentral is "bacterial SSU rRNA". It matches the Rfam family "Bacterial small subunit ribosomal RNA", at positions 29 to 506 of the family's 1533-position model. The record is from RNAcentral.